GAUGAACGCUGGCGGCGUGCCUAAUACAUGCAAGUCGAGCGAACGGACGAGAAGCUUGCUUUUCUGAUGUUAGCGGCGGACGGGUGAGUAACACGUGGAUAACCUACCUAUAAGACUGGGAUAACUUCGGGAAACCGGAGCUAAUACCGGAUAAUAUUUUGAACCGCAUGGUUCAAAAGUGAAAGACGGUCUUGCUGUCACUUAUAGAUGGAUCCGCGCUGCAUUAGCUAGUUGGUAAGGUAACGGCUUACCAAGGCAACGAUGCAUAGCCGACCUGAGAGGGUGAUCGGCCACACUGGAGCUGAGACACGGUCCAGACUCCUACGGGAGGCAGCAGUAGGGAAUCUUCCGCAAUGGGCGAAAGCCUGACGGAGCAACGCCGCGUGAGUGAUGAAGGUCUUCGGAUCGUAAAACUCUGUUAUUAGGGAAGAACAUAUGUGUAAGUAACUGUGCACAUCUUGACGGUACCUAAUCAGAAAGCCACGGCUAACCACGUG
Molecule: ribosomal RNA, 497 nt
Filed under: uncultured bacterium
Lineage: Bacteria
Description: partial 16S ribosomal RNA
Rfam family: Bacterial small subunit ribosomal RNA
Source: RNAcentral